AGCAGGUUUGUAGCAAUACAGAUGCUGGCGACCGGCAAACGGGUGCGUAACACGUACGCAACUUACCCAUUACUGGUGAAUAGCCCAGGGAAACUUGGAUUAAUACACCAUAACAUAUAGAGAAGGCAUCUUCUUUAUAUUAAAGCUUCGGCGGUAAUGGAUGGGCGUGCGGUUGAUUAGAUAGUUGGCGGGGUAACGGCCCACCAAGUCUACGAUCAAUAGCUGAUGUGAGAGCAUGAUCAGCCACACGGGCACUGAGACACGGGCCCGACUCCUACGGGAGGCAGCAGUAAGGAAUAUUGGGCAAUGGACGAAAGUCUGACCCAGCCAUGCCGCGUGAAGGAUGAAGGUCCUCUGGAUUGUAAACUUCUUUUAUCUGGGGCGAAAACCUCCCUUUCUAGGGGGCUUGACAGUACCAGAAGAAUAAGCACCGGCUAACUCCGUGCCAGCAGCCGCGGUAAUACGGAGGGUGCAAGCGUUAUCCGGAUUCACUGGGUUUAAAGGGUGCGUAGGCGGGCAGGUAAGUCAGUGGUGAAAUCCCCGAGCUUAACUCGGGAACUGCCGUUGAUACUAUCUGUCUUGAAUACCGUGGAGGUGAGCGGAAUAUGUCAUGUAGCGGUGAAAUGCUUAGAUAUGACAUAGAACACCAAUUGCGAAGGCAGCUCGCUACACGGUCAUUGACGCUGAGGCACGAAAGCGUGGGGAUCAAACAGGAUUAGAUACCCUGGUAGUCCACGCCCUAAACGAUGAUUACUCGACAUCAGCGAUACA
This 771-nucleotide ribosomal RNA is filed under the name uncultured bacterium. RNAcentral's name for it is "bacterial SSU rRNA". It matches the Rfam family "Bacterial small subunit ribosomal RNA", at positions 68 to 833 of the family's 1533-position model. The record is from RNAcentral.